CUUAAAAGAGUAAUGUCUAAAAUAUUUUUAAGAAUUCUGUUACCUUAUUUUGUUGUUUUGAAUGGAGCAAUUAGUCAAGAAAUCUUUGGUCAACAAUUUAUAAGUUGCACUCAAGAUAAGAUCACAUCUCAUCGCAAUACACUGUAUGAUGACGUGGAUGAUUUGCAACCUCAACUCGACCAAGAAAUCAUAGAGAGGCUCCUGCGUACGGGGAAAUUAAAUUACGAAACCGGAGGAGCGUUGUACCAAUGGUUGUUAAGGCGACCUUCUAUAACACCAAUAACAUAUCCA
Long non-coding RNA from Papilio xuthus (Asian swallowtail), 291 nucleotides. RefSeq lists it as uncharacterized. The record is from RefSeq and is a predicted model, not a curated record. NCBI's taxonomy places the organism in Eukaryota, Metazoa, Arthropoda, Insecta, Lepidoptera, Papilionidae. The transcript has 3 exons.